CCAUAAGUGAAAUCAACUCAUUCU
Molecule: microRNA, 24 nt
Filed under: Brachypodium distachyon (stiff brome)
Lineage: Eukaryota; Viridiplantae; Streptophyta; Magnoliopsida; Poales; Poaceae
Description: bdi-miR7711-5p.3
Source: miRBase by way of RNAcentral